CUGGCACAAUACUGACGCUCAGGUGCGAAAGCGUGGGGAGCAAACCGGCUAAAAAUACCCUGGUAGUCCACGCCGUAAACGAUGUCUACUAGAUGUUCGUGGUCUUGUACCGUGAGUAUCGCAGCUAACGCAUUAAGUAGACCGCCUGGGGAGUACGGUCGCAAGAUUAAAACUCAAAUGAAUUGACGGGGGCCCGCACAAGCGGUGGAGCAUGUGGUUUAAUUCGACGCAACGCGAAGAACCUUACCUACUCUUGACAUCUACAGAACUUGGUAGAGAUACCUUGGUGCCUUCGGGAACUGUAAGACAGGUGCUGCAUGGCUGUCGUCAGCUCGUGUUGUGAAAUGUUGGGUUAAGUCCCGCAACGAGCGCAACCCUUAUCCUUAGUUGCCAGCGAUUCGGUCGGGAACUCUAGGGAGACUGCCGGUGAUAAACCGGAGGAAGGUGGGGACGACGUCAAGUCAUCAUGGCCCUUACGAGUAGGGCUACACACGUGCUACAAUGGUAUGUACAGAGGGAGGCAAGCUGGCGACAGUGAGCGGAUCUCUUAAAGCAUAUCGUAGUCCGGAUUGGAGUC
Molecule: ribosomal RNA, 577 nt
Filed under: uncultured Acinetobacter sp.
Lineage: Bacteria; Pseudomonadati; Pseudomonadota; Gammaproteobacteria; Moraxellales; Moraxellaceae
Description: bacterial SSU rRNA
Rfam family: Bacterial small subunit ribosomal RNA
Source: RNAcentral